Molecule: ribosomal RNA, 2901 nt
Filed under: Escherichia coli 2726800
Lineage: Bacteria; Pseudomonadati; Pseudomonadota; Gammaproteobacteria; Enterobacterales; Enterobacteriaceae
Description: bacterial LSU rRNA
Rfam family: Bacterial large subunit ribosomal RNA
Source: RNAcentral
UUAAGCGACUAAGCGUACACGGUGGAUGCCCUGGCAGUCAGAGGCGAUGAAGGACGUGCUAAUCUGCGAUAAGCGUCGGUAAGGUGAUAUGAACCGUUAUAACCGGCGAUUUCCGAAUGGGGAAACCCAGUGUGAUUCGUCACACUAUCAUUAACUGAAUCCAUAGGUUAAUGAGGCGAACCGGGGGAACUGAAACAUCUAAGUACCCCGAGGAAAAGAAAUCAACCGAGAUUCCCCCAGUAGCGGCGAGCGAACGGGGAGCAGCCCAGAGCCUGAAUCAGUGUGUGUGUUAGUGGAAGCGUCUGGAAAGGCGCGCGAUACAGGGUGACAGCCCCGUACACAAAAAUGCACAUGCUGUGAGCUCGAUGAGUAGGGCGGGACACGUGGUAUCCUGUCUGAAUAUGGGGGGACCAUCCUCCAAGGCUAAAUACUCCUGACUGACCGAUAGUGAACCAGUACCGUGAGGGAAAGGCGAAAAGAACCCCCGGCGAGGGGAGUGAAAAAGAACCUGAAACCGUGUACGUACAAGCAGUGGGAGCACAGAGCAAUCUGUGUGACUGCGUACCUUUUGUAUAAUGGGUCAGCGACUUAUAUUCUGUAGCAAGGUUAACCGAAUAGGGGAGCCGAAGGGAAACCGAGUCUUAACUGGGCGUUAAGUUGCAGGGUAUAGACCCGAAACCCGGUGAUCUAGCCAUGGGCAGGUUGAAGGUUGGGUAACACUAACUGGAGGACCGAACCGACUAAUGUUGAAAAAUUAGCGGAUGACUUGUGGCUGGGGGUGAAAGGCCAAUCAAACCGGGAGAUAGCUGGUUCUCCCCGAAAGCUAUUUAGGUAGCGCCUCGUGAAUUCAUCUCCGGGGGUAGAGCACUGUUUCGGCAAGGGGGUCAUCCCGACUUACCAACCCGAUGCAAACUACGAAUACCGGAGAAUGUUAUCACGGGAGACACACGGCGGGUGCUAACGUCCGUCGUGAAGAGGGAAACAACCCAGACCGCCAGCUAAGGUCCCAAAGUCAUGGUUAAGUGGGAAACGAUGUGGGAAGGCCCAGACAGCCAGGAUGUUGGCUUAGAAGCAGCCAUCAUUUAAAGAAAGCGUAAUAGCUCACUGGUCGAGUCGGCCUGCGCGGAAGAUGUAACGGGGCUAAACCAUGCACCGAAGCUGCGGCAGCGACGCUUAUGCGUUGUUGGGUAGGGGAGCGUUCUGUAAGCCUGCGAAGGUGUGCUGUGAGGCAUGCUGGAGGUAUCAGAAGUGCGAAUGCUGACAUAAGUAACGAUAAAGCGGGUGAAAAGCCCGCUCGCCGGAAGACCAAGGGUUCCUGUCCAACGUUAAUCGGGGCAGGGUGAGUCGACCCCUAAGGCGAGGCCGAAAGGCGUAGUCGAUGGGAAACAGGUUAAUAUUCCUGUACUUGGUGUUACUGCGAAGGGGGGACGGAGAAGGCUAUGUUGGCCGGGCGACGGUUGUCCCGGUUUAAGCGUGUAGGCUGGUUUUCCAGGCAAAUCCGGAAAAUCAAGGCUGAGGCGUGAUGACGAGGCACUACGGUGCUGAAGCAACAAAUGCCCUGCUUCCAGGAAAAGCCUCUAAGCAUCAGGUAACAUCAAAUCGUACCCCAAACCGACACAGGUGGUCAGGUAGAGAAUACCAAGGCGCUUGAGAGAACUCGGGUGAAGGAACUAGGCAAAAUGGUGCCGUAACUUCGGGAGAAGGCACGCUGAUAUGUAGGUGAAGUCCCUCGCGGAUGGAGCUGAAAUCAGUCGAAGAUACCAGCUGGCUGCAACUGUUUAUUAAAAACACAGCACUGUGCAAACACGAAAGUGGACGUAUACGGUGUGACGCCUGCCCGGUGCCGGAAGGUUAAUUGAUGGGGUAGCGCAAGCGAAGCUCUUGAUCGAAGCCCCGGUAAACGGCGGCCGUAACUAUAACGGUCCUAAGGUAGCGAAAUUCCUUGUCGGGUAAGUUCCGACCUGCACGAAUGGCGUAAUGAUGGCCAGGCUGUCUCCACCCGAGACUCAGUGAAAUUGAACUCGCUGUGAAGAUGCAGUGUACCCGCGGCAAGACGGAAAGACCCCGUGAACCUUUACUAUAGCUUGACACUGAACAUUGAGCCUUGAUGUGUAGGAUAGGUGGGAGGCUUUGAAGUGUGGACGCCAGUCUGCAUGGAGCCGACCUUGAAAUACCACCCUUUAAUGUUUGAUGUUCUAACGUGACCCGUAUCCGGGUUGCGGACAGUGUCUGGUGGGUAGUUUGACUGGGGCGGUCUCCUCCUAAAGAGUAACGGAGGAGCACGAAGGUUGGCUAAUCCUGGUCGGACAUCAGGAGGUUAGUGCAAUGGCAUAAGCCAGCUUGACUGCGAGCGUGACGGCGCGAGCAGGUGCGAAAGCAGGUCAUAGUGAUCCGGUGGUUCUGAAUGGAAGGGCCAUCGCUCAACGGAUAAAAGGUACUCCGGGGAUAACAGGCUGAUACCGCCCAAGAGUUCAUAUCGACGGCGGUGUUUGGCACCUCGAUGUCGGCUCAUCACAUCCUGGGGCUGAAGUAGGUCCCAAGGGUAUGGCUGUUCGCCAUUUAAAGUGGUACGCGAGCUGGGUUUAGAACGUCGUGAGACAGUUCGGUCCCUAUCUGCCGUGGGCGCUGGAGAAUGAGGGGGGCUGCUCCUAGUACGAGAGGACCGGAGUGGACGCAUCACUGGUGUUCGGGUUGUCAUGCCAAUGGCACUGCCCGGUAGCUAAAUGCGGAAGAGAUAAGUGCUGAAAGCAUCUAAGCACGAAACUUGCCCCGAGAUGAGUUCUCCCUGACUCCUUGAGAGUCCUGAAGGAACGUUGAAGACGACGACGUUGAUAGGCCGGGUGUGUAAGCGCAGCGAUGCGUUGAGCUAACCGGUACUAAUGAACCGUGAGGCUUAACCUU